GUGCUUGAUCCUGGCAGCACAUAUACUAAAACUGGAACGAUACAGAGAAGAUUAACCUGGCCCCUUUGCAAGGAUGAGAGAGCAGGGCAAAAGGUUAAGUGUGGAUGA
Small nuclear RNA from Podarcis raffonei (Aeolian wall lizard), 108 nucleotides. NCBI's taxonomy places the organism in Eukaryota, Metazoa, Chordata, Lepidosauria, Squamata, Lacertidae. The record is from RefSeq and is a predicted model, not a curated record.